RNAcentral lists this transfer RNA (66 nucleotides) under Paralepas cf. quadrata. RNAcentral's name for it is "tRNA-Gly". The record is from RNAcentral. Lineage: Eukaryota; Metazoa; Arthropoda; Thecostraca; Heteralepadidae.
AUCUAAUUAGUAUAAACAGUAUAAAAGACUUCCAAUCUUUGGGACCAAGCAUAUUUGGAUUAGAUA